CCUACGGGAAGCAGCAGUGGGGAAUAUUGCACAAUGGGGGAAACCCUGAUGCAGCGACGCCGCGUGAGUGAAGAAGUAUUUCGGCAUGUAAAGCUCUAUCAGCCGGGAAGAAAAUUACGGUUCCUGAUUCAGCCCCCCCGGCUAACUACGUGCCAGCAGCCGCGGUACUACGUAGGGGGCAAGCGUUAUCCGGAUUUACUGGGUGUAAAUGGAGCCUAGACGGUAGGACAAGUCUGGAGUGAAAUGCCGGGGCUUAAACCCGGAACUGCUUUCGAAACUGGGCGGCUAGAGUGCAGGAGAGGUAAGUGGAAUGCCUAGUGUAGCGGUGAAAUGCGUAGAUAUUAGGCAGAACACCAGUGGCGAAGGCGGCUUACUGGACUGUAACUGACGUUGAGGCUCGAAAGCGUGGGGAGCAAACAGGAUUAGAUACCCUGGUAGUC
Molecule: ribosomal RNA, 440 nt
Filed under: uncultured bacterium
Lineage: Bacteria
Description: partial 16S ribosomal RNA
Rfam family: Bacterial small subunit ribosomal RNA
Source: RNAcentral